Molecule: ribosomal RNA, 253 nt
Filed under: uncultured bacterium
Lineage: Bacteria
Description: partial 16S ribosomal RNA
Rfam family: Bacterial small subunit ribosomal RNA
Source: RNAcentral
UACGUAGGGGGCAAGCGUUGUCCGGAAUCAUUGGGCGUAAAGAGCGUGUAGGCGGCUUGGUAAGUCCGCUGUGAAAGUCCAGGGCUCAACCCUGGAAUGCCGGUGGAAACUGUCAAGCUUGAGUCCGGAAGAGGCGAGUGGAAUUCCUGGUGUAGCGGUGAAAUGCGCAGAUAUCAGGAGGAAUACCAAUGGCGAAGGCAGCUCGCUGGGACGGUACUGACGCUGAGACGCGAAAGCGUGGGGAGCAAACAGG